Molecule: ribosomal RNA, 207 nt
Filed under: uncultured bacterium
Lineage: Bacteria
Description: partial 16S ribosomal RNA
Rfam family: Bacterial small subunit ribosomal RNA
Source: RNAcentral
CACGUAGGCGGAUUGUUAAGUCGGGGGUGAAAUCCUGGAGCUCAACUUCAGAAUUGCCUUCGAUACUGGCUUUCUAGAGGCUGGAAGAGGUUAGUGGAAUUCCCAGUGUAGAGGUGAAAUUCGUAGAUAUUGGGAAGAACACCAGUGGCGAAGGCGGCUAACUGGUCCAGAUCUGACGCUGAGGCGCGAAAGCGUGGGGAGCAAACA